UACGGAGGGGGCUAGCGUUGUUCGGAAUUACUGGGCGUAAAGCGCACGUAGGCGGCUUUGUAAGUUAGAGGUGAAAUCCCGGGGCUCAACCCCGGAACUGCCCUUGAAACUGGAGAGCUAGAAUCUUGGAGAGGCGAGUGGAAUUCCGAGUGUAGAGGUGAAAUUCGUAGAUAUUCGGAAGAACACCAGUGGCGAAGGCGACUCGCUGGACAAGUAUUGACGCUGAGGUGCGAAAGCGUGGGGAGCAAACAGG
This 253-nucleotide ribosomal RNA is filed under the name uncultured bacterium. RNAcentral's name for it is "partial 16S ribosomal RNA". It matches the Rfam family "Bacterial small subunit ribosomal RNA", at positions 524 to 776 of the family's 1533-position model. The record is from RNAcentral.